GACCUGGUGGCGAGUGGCGAACGGGUGAGUAAUACAUCGGAAGAUGUCCUGUAGUGGGGGAUAGCCCGGCGAAAGCCGGAUUAAUACCGCAUACGAUCUAUGGAUGAAAGCGGGGGACCUUCGGGCCUCGCGCUAUAGGGUUGGCCGAUGGCUGAUUAGCUAGUUGGUGGGGUAAAGGCCUACCAAGGCGACGAUCAGUAGCUGGUCUGAGAGGACGACCAGCCACACUGGGACUGAGACACGGCCCAGACUCCUACGGGAGGCAGCAGUGGGGAAUUUUGGACAAUGGGCGAAAGCCUGAUCCAGCAAUGCCGCGUGUGUGAAGAAGGCCUUCGGGUUGUAAAGCACUUUUGUCCGGAAAGAAAUCCUUGGCUCUAAUACAGUCGGGGGAUGACGGUACCGGAAGAAUAAGCACCGGCUAACUACGUGCCAGCAGCCGCGGUAAUACGUAGGGUGCAAGCGUUAAUCGGAAUUACUGGGCGUAAAGCGUGCGCAGGCGGUUUGCUAAGACCGAUGUGAAAUCCCCGGGCUCAACCUGGGAACUGCAUUGGUGACUGGCAGGCUAGAGUAUGGCAGAGGGGGGUAGAAUUCCACGUGUAGCAGUGAAAUGCGUAGAGAUGUGGAGGAAUACCGAUGGCGAAGGCAGCCCCCUGGGCCAAUACUGACGCUCAUGCACGAAAGCGUGGGGAGCAAACAGGAUUAGAUACCCUGGUAGUCCACGCCCUAAACGAUGUCAACUAGUUGUUGGGGAUUCAUUUCCUUAGUAACGUAGCUAACGCGUGAAGUUGACCGCCUGGGGAGUACGGUCGCAAGAUUAAGACUCAAAGGAAUUGACGGGGACCCGCACAAGCGGUGGAUGAUGGUGGAUUAAUUCGAUGCAACGCGAAAAACCUUACCUACCCUUGACAUGGUCGGAAUCCUGAAGAGAUUCGGGAGUGCUCGAAAGAGAACCGGCGCACAGGUGCUGCAUGGCUGUCGUCAGCUCCUGUCGUGAAAAAUUUGGGGUUAAGUCCCCCCACCAAGCGCAACCCCUUGUCCUUAAUUUGCUACCCAAGAACACUCUUAAGGAGACUGCCGGUGACAAACCCGAAGAAAAGGGGGGGGAAGAAGGGCAAAUCCCUCAUGGCCCCUUUUGGGGUGGGGGGUUCCCCCGUCUUCCAAUUGUGCCGGGCCCCGG
RNAcentral lists this ribosomal RNA (1177 nucleotides) under Burkholderia sp. RNAcentral describes it as "bacterial SSU rRNA". It matches the Rfam family "Bacterial small subunit ribosomal RNA", at positions 82 to 1246 of the family's 1533-position model. Lineage: Bacteria; Pseudomonadati; Pseudomonadota; Betaproteobacteria; Burkholderiales; Burkholderiaceae. The record is from RNAcentral.